This 69-nucleotide transfer RNA is filed under the name Ictidomys tridecemlineatus (thirteen-lined ground squirrel). Its description in RNAcentral is "Spermophilus tridecemlineatus (thirteen-lined ground squirrel) tRNA". It matches the Rfam family "tRNA". Rfam says of the family: Transfer RNA (tRNA) molecules are approximately 80 nucleotides in length. The record is from Rfam by way of RNAcentral. Lineage: Eukaryota; Metazoa; Chordata; Mammalia; Rodentia; Sciuridae.
GGGGUUGUGGCUCAUAGGUAGAGCACUCGCCUAGCAUGCGGGAGGCACUAGGUUCCAUCCUCAGCACCA